CGAAUCCCCGAACUCCAAGAAUGCUCGUCUUCUGUACAAGCUCGCCUGCGCGCGCACACGCGCGCCGCGCUUCCCCGCACACCAGUGAAUAUUUGAUGAGGAAAUGAAGAUACCUGCUUUCUCUUCACCUUUCCUGGGAUUGUUAGAAAAUGAUACAGACACUAAAUAGGAGGAAGCCAGCUGUACAUUGUGAGGACACUCUCAAGAUGCUCCAUGGAGAGGCCUGUGGAGUGAGACACUGAAGCCUCCUGCCAACAGCCGUGUGAGUUCGCCAUCUUGGAAGCAGAUCCUCCAGCCUCAGUCAAGCCUUCAUGACUGCAGCACCCGCUAACAUCCUGGCUGCAGCCUCAUGAGAAACCCUGAGCCGAAACCACCCAACUAAGCUGCUCCCAAUUCCUGAUCCAUUGAAACUGUGAGGUGACACAUAUUUGUCUGAAGAUACUAAUUUGGGGUAAUUUUGCUGUGCAACAGUGGUAAUUAAUACGAGUGGAUCCUUCCUCCAUUUUACACGUGAUAGUUUAGUAACCUGCCCGACUCCCUGUCUUUGACUGCAGAAGCCUAACUCUUUGUUUGCUUGUUUUUCCUUUUCAUCAGAUACGGUCUUGCUAUGCAGCUCAGGCUGCCCUUAAAUUCACUAUGUAUCUGGGGUCAAACUCGCAGUGAGCCUCCUGCCUCAGUGCUGGGAUUACACGUGUGUACUAGCGUGCUUGGCUCCAGAAGCCUCUUAACCAAAAAGCCAUAUACUGUCAGCAGUAGAAACCACUUAUGGAACAUUACUAUGUGCCAGAAACUUUCCUUAUAUUGUCUCACUGACUCCCACAACACCUCUGUAAGGAAGACUUCUUUCUGCCUUUCAAAAGGGUCAGGGUAAAGUUAUUAUCUUCUUAUGGGAAUCACGUGAUAAUGAUGUGUAUGAAGGCGUAAGAGUAAGGCAUCACUGUGGUCCAUUUCAUUCCGGUCCCUUGCUGCCUUGCUUGGCUCAAGUACAAGGUGGCUUGAUAAGCAUCCUACUAAUUUCCCUUCCUCAAAGGGCUCUGACAGUUUAAAAUGACCCCAAAUGACACCUUUCCCUUGAAUAUAUGCAAAUAUACUGAGAUGUAAUAUAGUGUAUUUUACCUUAUCUCGAGAUUUUAAUUAAAAAAAUGGAAAAACAUUUUUAAAACACAGCAUUUAAUUUGUAUAGGAAAUAAAUGAGUUCAUAGAGUGUAAGUCCUAAAAAAUAAUAAAAUGGCUGUGCCUUUCAUUUUCUAGUCUUAAUAUCAGACCUGAUUCAGUGAAGUUUUACAGGCUUUUUAUAAUGCACCUUGGAAUUCUGGGACAGUUAAAUAAAAAUACACACCAUGAAAAAGA
This is a long non-coding RNA of Chinchilla lanigera (long-tailed chinchilla), 1350 nucleotides long. RefSeq lists it as uncharacterized. The transcript is spliced from 3 exons. Lineage: Eukaryota; Metazoa; Chordata; Mammalia; Rodentia; Chinchillidae. The record is from RefSeq and is a predicted model, not a curated record.